GACGAACGCUGGCGGCGUGCUUAACACAUGCAAGUCACGGGGGGCCCGGUAGCAAUAUCGGGCAACCGGCGAACGGGUGCGUAACACGUGAGCAAUCUGCCGAUCUCUGGGGGAUAGCCGGCCCAACGGCCGGGUAAUACCGCAUACGCUCAUCGGGGGACAUCCCCUGGUGAGGAAACCUCCGGGGGAGAUCGAGGAGCUCGCGACCUAUCAGCUAGUUGGCGAGGUAAUGGCUCACCAAGGCUACGACGGGUAGCUGGUCUGAGAGGAUGGCCAGCCACAUUGGGACUGCGACACGGGCCCAGACUCCUACGGGAGGCAGCAGUGGGGAAUAUUGCGCAAUGGACGAAAGUCUGACGCAGCGACGCCGCGUGUGGGAUGAAGCUCGUUCGGGGGUGUAAACCACUGUUGCCAGGGAANAAACUCCUGAUUCGUCAGGACUGACGGUACCGUGGUGAGGAAGCACCGGCUAACUCUGUGCCAGCACGCCGACCGUAAC
This 499-nucleotide ribosomal RNA is filed under the name uncultured bacterium. RNAcentral's name for it is "bacterial SSU rRNA". It matches the Rfam family "Bacterial small subunit ribosomal RNA", at positions 28 to 524 of the family's 1533-position model. The record is from RNAcentral.